UACGGGGGGAGCAAGCGUUGUUCGGAUUUACUGGGCGUAAAGGGCGCGUAGGCGGUAGCACAAGUCAGUUGUGAAAUCUCCGGGCUUAACUCGGAAAGGUCAACUGAUACUGUGCGACUAGAGUGCAGAAGGGGCAACUGGAAUUCUCGGUGUAGCGGUGAAAUGCGUAGAUAUCGAGAGGAACACCUGCGGCGAAGGCGAGUCCCUGGACAAGACCUGACACUGAGGCACGAAAGCCAGGGGAGCAAACAGG
RNAcentral lists this ribosomal RNA (253 nucleotides) under uncultured bacterium. Its description in RNAcentral is "partial 16S ribosomal RNA". It matches the Rfam family "Bacterial small subunit ribosomal RNA", at positions 524 to 776 of the family's 1533-position model. The record is from RNAcentral.